UAGGGAAUCUUCCACAAUGGACGAAAGUCUGAUGGAGCAACGCCGCGUGAGUGAAGAAGGUUUUCGGAUCGUAAAGCUCUGUUGUUGGUGAAGAAGGAUAGAGGCAGUAACUGGUCUUUAUUUGACGGUAAUCAACCAGAAAGUCACGGCUAACUACGUACCAG
This 164-nucleotide ribosomal RNA is filed under the name uncultured bacterium. Its description in RNAcentral is "partial 16S rRNA". It matches the Rfam family "Bacterial small subunit ribosomal RNA", at positions 355 to 511 of the family's 1533-position model. The record is from RNAcentral.